GGAAAUCCCCACUGCAAAUGCACGGCGACUCAGCGGUGAAAGAGGCUUGCAGGAGCCGCGUGGGGAAGCUGCUGCCACAUCUGCUUCGAGUCUUUUGAACUCCAGGGAGCACUGCCAUAAGUCUGCUGCUCGUGAGAACUUCGGCUCUGGCUGCCUCCCAUUACCAAAGAGAGGAGGAGGCCAGACUUCUGGAUCUCACCCAAAUUUCUCUUUUGACCAAUGCUAACCUGGAGCAAAACAGAGAAGGAGAUGCUACAAAGAUACUUUUUAUGGAGCCAAGUUGAUACCUACAGGUGUCAAGAGGAAAACACAGUACAUUUGGGGAUUUAGACACCAGCCGCAGAUAGCGAUCUACGUUCUGCUUACUUCAUCAACAAGGAAUAAAAGUCACAGAUAACUCAGAAAACUAAAAAAGGUGGAAAUAAUGAGCUGUCAGGAAGAAAGGGAAGAGGAGGCAGAAACAGAGGAGACCACUCAGAAUACUAAUUUGGAGAGGAGUCUACAUCAAUGGCCACAACUUAAUUGAUUUAUGGGAAGUUGGAAUGUUCUAAAGACAAAAGGAAACGACAUAACCAGCAAACAAUCCAGGAGGGGGAAACAAUAAAUUGUUUGUGGAAGCUC
Hyaena hyaena (striped hyena) is the source of this 621-nucleotide long non-coding RNA. RefSeq lists it as uncharacterized. The record is from RefSeq and is a predicted model, not a curated record. The transcript has 3 exons. Lineage: Eukaryota; Metazoa; Chordata; Mammalia; Carnivora; Hyaenidae.